UGUUUCGGCAAGGGGGUCAUCCCGACUUACCAACCCGAUGCAAACUGCGAAUACCGGAGAAUGUUAUCACGGGAGACACACGGCGGGUGCUAACGUCCGUCGUGAAGAGGGAAACAACCCAGACCGCCAGCUAAGGUCCCAAAGUCAUGGUUAAGUGGGAAACGAUGUGGGAAGGCCCAGACAGCCAGGAUGUUGGCUUAGAAGCAGCCAUCAUUUAAAGAAAGCGUAAUAGCUCACUGGUCGAGUCGGCCUGCGCGGAAGAUGUAACGGGGCUAAACCAUGCACCGAAGCUGCGGCAGCGACGCUGAUGCGUUGUUGGGUAGGGGAGCGUUCUGUAAGCCUGUGAAGGUGUGCUGUGAGGCAUGCUGGAGGUAUCAGAAGUGCGAAUGCUGACAUAAGUAACGAUAAAGCGGGUGAAAAGCCCGCUCGCCGGAAGACCAAGGGUUCCUGUCCAACGUUAAUCGGGGCAGGGUGAGUCGACCCCUAAGGCGAGGCCGAAAGGCGUAGUCGAUGGGAAACAGGUUAAUAUUCCUGUACUUGGUGUUACUGCGAAGGGGGGACGGAGAAGGCUAUGUUGGCCGGGCGACGGUUGUCCCGGUUUAAGCGUGUAGGCUGGUUUUCCAGGCAAAUCCGGAAAAUCAAGGCUGAGGCGUGAUGACGAGGCACUACGGUGCUGAAGCAACAAAUGCCCUGCUUCCAGGAAAAGCCUCUAAGCAUCAGGUAACAUCAAAUCGUACCCCAAACCGACACAGGUGGUCAGGUAGAGAAUACCAAGGCGCUUGAGAGAACUCGGGUGAAGGAACUAGGCAAAAUGGUGCCGUAACUUCGGGAGAAGGCACGCUGAUAUGUAGGUGAAGUCCCUCGCGGAUGGAGCUGAAAUCAGUCGAAGAUACCAGCUGGCUGCAACUGUUUAUUAAAAACACAGCACUGUGCAAACACGAAAGUGGACGUAUACGGUGUGACGCCUGCCCGGUGCCGGAAGGUUAAUUGAUGGGGUCAGCGCAAGCGAAGCUCUUGAUCGAAGCCCCGGUAAACGGCGGCCGUAACUAUAACGGUCCUAAGGUAGCGAAAUUCCUUGUCGGGUAAGUUCCGACCUGCACGAAUGGCGUAAUGAUGGCCAGGCUGUCUCCACCCGAGACUCAGUGAAAUUGAACUCGCUGUGAAGAUGCAGUGUACCCGCGGCAAGACGGAAAGACCCCGUGAACCUUUACUAUAGCUUGACACUGAACAUUGAGCCUUGAUG
Molecule: ribosomal RNA, 1243 nt
Filed under: Escherichia coli
Lineage: Bacteria; Pseudomonadati; Pseudomonadota; Gammaproteobacteria; Enterobacterales; Enterobacteriaceae
Description: partial 23S ribosomal RNA
Rfam family: Bacterial large subunit ribosomal RNA
Source: RNAcentral